This is a long non-coding RNA of Mus musculus (house mouse), 2725 nucleotides long. RefSeq annotates it as predicted gene 13830. The transcript has 2 exons. The record is from RefSeq and is marked validated. NCBI's taxonomy places the organism in Eukaryota, Metazoa, Chordata, Mammalia, Rodentia, Muridae.
ACAGCGUCGGUUGCCCGGGCGAUGCGCGGCACGCGUGCGGAGGCCCACACACCCUGAAGGCGGAGCCCCGGGUCGAGUGGCUGGCUCCCGGACCACCCAGCAGUCUGGAAGGAGACUCUCUGAGACCAGACUCCCGACCGACUGGCUCCUCCCACCUCCACACCUCCAGCCUGGUAUCAAGGCUGCUUUACAAUCAUCCUAUUCAGAGACACACAAUAAACAUUUGUAUGGUAAAGGAAACUGAUGCUGACUUCUGCAGAAAGAUUUACAAAUGUAUUCUAACCCAGCGGGGUUCUCAGUUACCUUAAGCAUUGCACCCUAAAUUAUGUGUGUCUCUUAAGUAACCAUCAUUACCCCACCUCCACCCUGCAACUGUGUAGUGCCUUAGGGCAUCAGGCUAUCUCCCCAGUCUCCUCUGGAGUCUUCCUUUGUGUCUGUUUUCUUUCUCUCUGGAAAGCCUUUUCCCUCUCCCCUCAUUUCCUGCCUGACACCAUCUGGUUGUUCUGGUCUCCAUUUAGAAGCCACGCCCUCUGAGAAGUCUUUCCCUGACAGCUGCCUGCAGCCCUGAGGCGGAAGACCUGCAGACCCUGUGUUUCUUGUAAUCACUACCUGCUCCAGUUGACUUUCUAAUGUACUGCAUGUGAGUUCGGAGCGGCCAGCUGUUUAGCAAAGGAGCCACUUCUCGGUGUUACCUCCCUUUGAAAUGUUGGAUUACCCAUGACGACUAUACAGAGCUCAGAACACUUCAGCCAUUGGGAAGUUCUAGGCUGGGGAUGCAGGGAUGCAGUUCACUCUGUAGGGGGCUUGCCGAGCAGGUGCAAAACGUGGGGUUCAAUCCCUAGCCCCUCAUAACCCAGGCGUGGUGACACACACCUGCAAUCCCAGCCCUUGGGAGGUGGAGACUCCAGGAUCAGGGGGUUCAAAUUCAACCUCAAGUAUCUAUGGAGUUGGAGGCCAGCCUGAGUUACAAGAGGACCUGUACAGCUAUAACGGAGUCAAUGAGGUGGCUCAGCAAGUAAAGGCUCUGGAGGCCCCUGCUGCGUAGGCAUGGGGCUAUAAAUUCAAUCCUUAGAACCCACAAAAAGGCGGAGGGAGGGAGACAAGAGACUGCAUAAAGCUGUCCUCUGAACGCCACGUGUGUUUAUUUUAAAUAAUUAAAAUAAUUUAAAAUAAAUAAGGCUGGGCGCAGCGGCAGCACACAGGCUUUUAACCUCAGUACUCCGGGAGGCUGAUGUAUCCUGUAGGUGAAGCCACAGCUAUUUAUUGUCUGUAUCUGAUCUGUCUAAUGAGUUCCAGGCCAGCCAGAGUUACAUAGUAAGUCUCUGUCUAAUAAGUAAAUGAAAGAUGCCUGGGAAGAUGGGGGGGAAGGGUUAAGGGGGGAGGAAAGGUGACAGAAGGGGGGGGGGGAAACACCUUUAAUCACAACAUUUGGGAGGCAGAGGCAGAUGGAUCUUUGUGAGUUUAAGGCCAGCCUGGUCUGUAGAAUGAGUUCCAGGACAGCCAGGACUACACAGAGAAACUGUCUUGAAACAACUAACUAACUAACUAACUAACUAACAGGCAUGGUGACCUAUACCUUUAAUCCAGGCACUCCUGAGGCAGGAGCUGGUAGGUGAGCUACAAGCCAGGCUGGUCAACAUAUUGAAUUCCAGUCAAGGCUACAUAGUGAGGCCCUAUCUCAAAUAAACCUUAGGUAUAUUAAGGACCCUAUCUGCUUAUAACAAAUUAGCAAACACAAGGCUCAGGGCUGCUACAAACCUUGCUUUAAAUAACCUCAUACAAAACCAGGCUCUCUCCCCACCUGUUUGGCCACAUGCAAAGAAACUGCAGUUCCUUCCUUUGCUAUCCUGUAAUAAUAGAAAACCAUGGUCUCUCUCUCUCUCUCUCUCUCUCUCUCUCUGUGCUGUCUCUCUCUCUCUCUCUCUCUCUCUCUCUCUCUCUCUCUCUCUCUCUCUCUCUCUCUCUCUCUCUCUCUCUGUGCUGUCUCUUUAGAAAACACCAGAGGAGAAUUAUGUUCACAACAGACUGCAAACCUUCUUGAAUUUUCUCCCCCUUCUGUCUUCUUGUCUUCCCACGCUUGGCACUUGCAUUCCUCAAACUGCCGGCUCCCCCCGCCCCCCUCCCCGUUCCUAUCUCUCUCUAAAAUCUCCUAAUUUAGCUGCGCUGCAGGCUCUUCCCAGCCUCCCCUGCGUGGCUCACGGCUCACAAGCACACAGCUCUCCAGAAAUCAACACUUCCAUCCCCCCUACACCUCAUUAAACCCCUGGCUUCACGCAUGUUUGGCGAGUGCUCUAGCGCCGAGUGAGCGACAGUCAAGGACCCAUCUCACAAACAUACUUGACCGGGUCGUGACGGACAGCAAGCUCCAGGCUGUCCAGACCAACAACACAUUCCAGUGACCCAGCCCACAACUCCAGCGGAGCGCUAGCCGAGUCCGAGUCCGAGUCCCAGUCUCGGGAUGACUCAUUUUCCCACCAACUGUCUCCUUAUCUCUCGCUCCCCCUCCUGCCUACUGGGAGAAGUUCAUGACUGAGAGCUUUCACACAGAAGGAAACAUUUUACUGAAAUGCCAGAGGCUGGCCUCAAACAUGAGCUCCUCUUGCCGCGUGAAAGGGCUCUGCCAACUUAGCUGCGUCCCAUCCAUUUGGUUCUGUUUUUUGUUUUUUUUUUUUUUUUCCAGACUAGGUCUCAGUGGGCCUGGAACUGGCUACGUGGUCCGAGUUGG